UGGGGAAUAUUGGACAAUGGGCGAAAGCCUGAUCCAGCCAUGCCGCGUGUGUGAAGAAGGUCUUCGGAUUGUAAAGCACUUUAAGUUGGGAGGAAGGGCAGUAAGCUAAUACCUUGCUGUUUUGACGUUACCGACAGAAUAAGCACCGGCUAACUUCGUGCCAGCAGCCGCGGUAAUACGAAGGGUGCAAGNCGUUAAUCGGAAUUACUGGGCGUAAAGCGCGCGUAGGUGGUUCGUUAAGUUGGAUGUGAAAGCCCCCGGGCUCAACCUGGGAACUGCAUCCAAAACUGGCGAGCUAGAGUACGGUAGAGGGUGGUGGAAUUUCCUGUGUAGCGGUGAAAUGCGUAGAUAUAGGAAGGAACACCAGUGGCGAAGGCGACCACCUGGACUGAUACUGACACUGAGGUGCGAAAAGCGUGGGGAGCAAAACAGGAUUAGAUACCCUGGUAGUCCACGCCGUAAAACGAUGUCAACUAGCCGUUGGGUUCCUUGAGAACUUAGUGGCGCAGCUAACGCAUUAAAGUUGACCGCCUGGGGGAGUACGCCGCAAGGUUAAAACUCAAAUGAAUUGACGGGGUCAUAGCUGUUUCCUG
This 593-nucleotide ribosomal RNA is filed under the name uncultured bacterium. Its description in RNAcentral is "partial 16S ribosomal RNA". It matches the Rfam family "Bacterial small subunit ribosomal RNA", at positions 355 to 1376 of the family's 1533-position model. The record is from RNAcentral.